RNAcentral lists this long non-coding RNA (624 nucleotides) under Homo sapiens (human). RNAcentral describes it as "HSALNT0351657". The record is from RNAcentral. Lineage: Eukaryota; Metazoa; Chordata; Mammalia; Primates; Hominidae.
CCUGCACACACACACACAUGCACGCAUGCACACACACACACACAGAAGGUGAACACACAGGAUGAGGCCCUGAAAACUCAUUUCACCCGUGUACCUCACCCAAAAAUUCCCCUUUGUACUCCUAUCUUUAUCUCUAACUGACAGCAUGAAGGUAGCCCGAAGUCCCCUCACCCUGUCUGUCCUCCUGAUUCUCUAGCCCAGUUCCCUCUAGCUCCAGCACAGACUCUUAUCUCCAGCCCUGACUGCCGAAACCCUCCAGCCCCAGCUCCAGCCCCUCAGGAGGGGACUGCGUGGGAGGAAUGACUCCAGCAAGCCGGCAGCUGACCCGUCUCCUGCCUGCACGCCUCCCGCUGUGGUCCACUGCCGGUGGUCUUCAGCUCUCUCCUCGUCCCACCCCCAUGGUCUGCUGACAGCCCAGCUCAGUGCAUCCCUGCCAUCUCUGCUCUACCGCUGGUCCUCCCAACAACCAACUUACAGGUUUGGGGGCACACGUGAAGGUUUGACAUAUAGUAAACACAUGUCAUGGUGGUUUGUUGUACAGAUUAUUACAUCACCCAGACAGGGUUUCACUCCCGUCACCCAGACUGGAGUACAAUGGUGCGAUCUCAGCUCACUGCAACCUCU